UGGAGUAUAGCCAAGUGGUAAGGCAUCGGUUUUUGGUACCCGCAUGCAAAGGUUCAAAUCGUUUUACUCAAG
This is a non-coding RNA of Nicotiana attenuata, 72 nucleotides long. NCBI's taxonomy places the organism in Eukaryota, Viridiplantae, Streptophyta, Magnoliopsida, Solanales, Solanaceae. The record is from Rfam.